Molecule: non-coding RNA, 1028 nt
Filed under: Drosophila virilis
Lineage: Eukaryota; Metazoa; Arthropoda; Insecta; Diptera; Drosophilidae
Description: Eukaryotic large subunit ribosomal RNA
Rfam family: Eukaryotic large subunit ribosomal RNA
Source: Rfam by way of RNAcentral
UGUGAUGGGCUACCAACCUUAACUGUUUGAGUUUAAAUCGGAAGUGCCUCUGGUACGAGGCUGAUGGAGGCUUUAAUCUGGUACCACGGGUAACCAGGAGCCCACGGAACUUGUUCCGUCCUGGUUAGUUGGUGCGGCCCUUCGGGGAGUAUCGUGGUGGUUGUGGUUUAACACCCAAAUGCGGGUAGAGCAUCGCUCGACGUGGAGUUGCGUCAUACAACCGGGUUCCGUGACCCAGAUUACGGAAGAGGCUUAGAUAGUCCUCGUGCCAAACCAAGGUAGAAGUCACAACCAAACAGUCGUGUCUUUAAUUGGUACCUGCGGAAUUGUUCCAAGGGGGCGGUGAUUGACGCUUGAAUUAAUCCUAUACUAGGAACCGUGAGAUUAAGCCAUCGCGGCAGGUGCUCACGUUAAGCCCACUGACUUUCAUGUCCCUAUCUACUAUCUAGCGAAACCACAGCCAAGGGAACGGGCUUGGAAUAAUUAGCGGGGAAAGAAGACCCUUUUGAGCUUGACUCUAAUCUGGCAGUGUAAGGAGACAUAAGAGGUGUAGAAUAAGUGGGAGAUAUUAGACUUCGGUUUGGUAUCGACAAUGAAAUACCACUACUCUUAUUGUUUCCUUACUUACUUGAUUAAAUGGAACGUGUAUCAUUUCCUAGCCAUUAUACGGAUAUAAUUAUUAUGUCUUAUGGUAUUGGGUUUUGAUGCAAGCUUCUUGAUCAAAGUAUCACGAGUUUGUUAUAUAAUCGCAAACAAAUUCUUAAUGAGAGAAUGCAUUUAUGUAUUAUUGAUUUAAAAAUUUGGUAUAACUCCAAUUACUCAGGUAUGAUCCAAUUCAAGGACAUUGCCAGGUAGGGAGUUUGACUGGGGCGGUACAUCUCUCAAAUAAUAACGGAGGUGUCCCAAGGCCAGCUCAGUGCGGACAGAAACCACACAUAGAGCAAAAGGGCAAAUGCUGACUUGAUCUCGGUGUUCAGUACACACAGGGACAGCAAAAGCUCGGCCUAUCGAUCCUUUUGGUUUAAAGA